AAAAACCUACAGGAUGGGGAAAAACAUCCAGCUCAGGCAGGGCUCGGCCUCCCACGCUCACUGGGAACGGCCGCCGCAGUGCCGCAGGGCAGUCACGUCACCCGCUCCGGGUGCUCCGCAGGAGAAAUGACCAGGUCCCUUUCCAUGAGAACCCCCCGCCGCCGCCUCUCAUGCCUCCGCUGUGGUGACAUGAGUGAGGCCUCGAAGGAAAGCUCCCUGCAGCCACCUCGGCCCCAAAAGCAGCAAUGCAGGAUCCGACUCCUGUGCAUGUCUACGAGCAGCCCCCAGGCUUCAGUGGGGAGGAGGAAGGAGCCCCAGGGCUGGCAAAUCUCUGCAACCCCCUGGAGUGGUGAGCGACUGCCAUGCCAGCACACAAACCCCCACCUGCCUAACCUGAGUGCCCAGGGGAGAACUGGUCAGCCUUGGGGCUGACCCCCUGGAGAAGGAGGCAGGGAGCGGGCAGGGGUCCCGCGGAGCAGCCCCCGCGGCCGAGCCAGCGGCAGCGUGCUGACCUCCGUUUCUCCGGUAGGCUGGCAGCUCGCACGGGCUCGGCUCCGGCUGGGCGUCCUCCUCGGACCUGGCCUGCAGGACGGUCACCGUGGCCCCCGUCUGCUGAAUAAACUGCUGCAAAUUA
Corvus hawaiiensis (hawaiian crow) is the source of this 634-nucleotide long non-coding RNA. RefSeq lists it as uncharacterized. The transcript is spliced from 2 exons. NCBI's taxonomy places the organism in Eukaryota, Metazoa, Chordata, Aves, Passeriformes, Corvidae. The record is from RefSeq and is a predicted model, not a curated record.